This 492-nucleotide ribosomal RNA is filed under the name uncultured bacterium. Its description in RNAcentral is "partial 16S ribosomal RNA". It matches the Rfam family "Bacterial small subunit ribosomal RNA", at positions 29 to 507 of the family's 1533-position model. The record is from RNAcentral.
AGUGAACGCUGGCGGUAGGCCUAACACAUGCAAGUCGAACGGCAGCACAGUAAGAGCUUGCUCUUACGGGUGGCGAGUGGCGGACGGGUGAGGAAUACAUCGGAAUCUACUUUUUCGUGGGGGAUAACGUAGGGAAACUUACGCUAAUACCGCAUACGACCUACGGGUGAAAGCAGGGGAUCUUCGGACCUUGCGCGAUUGAAUGAGCCGAUGGCGGAUUAGCUAGUUGGCGGGGUAAAGGCCCACCAAGGCGACGAUCCGUAGCUGGUCUGAGAGGAUGAUCAGCCACACUGGAAGUGAGACAGGGUCCAGACUCCUACGGGAGGCAGCAGUGGGGAAUAUUGGGCAAUGGGCGCAAGCCUGAUCCAGCCAUACCGCGUGGGUGAAGAAGGCCUUCGGGUUGUAAAGCCCUUUUGUUGGGAAAGAAAAGCAGCAGGUUAAUACCCCGCUGUUCUGACGGUACCCAAAGAAUAAGCACCGGCUAACUUCGUG